This 138-nucleotide ribosomal RNA is filed under the name Chelonoidis abingdonii (Abingdon island giant tortoise). The record is from RNAcentral. Lineage: Eukaryota; Metazoa; Chordata; Testudines; Testudinidae.
UGCUUUAGCCUCAGGUCCUUGCUUAAUUCCUGGCCAUGCAGCUUGGACUGCAAUUUCCUCUAGUCCCGGAACUGAAGCAGGGUUGGGCCAACUCUGUACUUGGAUGGAAGACCUCAGAGUGGCUGGGUGCUGCAGGAC